AAGCAGAGGGGGCUUAGUGGUGGGGUGACUGCGUACCUUUUGUAUAAUGGGUCAGCGACUUAUAUUCUGUAGCAAGGUUAACCGUAUAGGGGAGCCGGAGGGAAACCGAGUCUUAA
RNAcentral lists this ribosomal RNA (116 nucleotides) under Salmonella enterica. RNAcentral's name for it is "partial 23S ribosomal RNA". It matches the Rfam family "Bacterial large subunit ribosomal RNA", at positions 568 to 687 of the family's 2925-position model. Lineage: Bacteria; Pseudomonadati; Pseudomonadota; Gammaproteobacteria; Enterobacterales; Enterobacteriaceae. The record is from RNAcentral.